GGGGGCGUAGUUCAGUUGGUUAGAACGCUGGCCUGUCACGCCAGAGGUCGAGGGUUCGAGCCCCUUCGUCCCCG
RNAcentral lists this transfer RNA (74 nucleotides) under Geovibrio thiophilus. It matches the Rfam family "tRNA". Rfam says of the family: Transfer RNA (tRNA) molecules are approximately 80 nucleotides in length. RNAcentral also lists the same sequence under 3 other names. The record is from Rfam by way of RNAcentral. Lineage: Bacteria; Pseudomonadati; Deferribacterota; Deferribacteres; Deferribacterales; Geovibrionaceae.